AGUGAACGCUGGCGGUAGGCCUAACACAUGCAAGUCGAACGGCAGCACAGUAAGAGCUUGCUCUUACGGGUGGCGAGUGGCGGACGGGUGAGGAAUACAUCGGAAUCUACUUUUUCGUGGGGGAUAACGUAGGGAAACUUACGCUAAUACCGCAUACGACCUACGGGUGAAAGCAGGGGAUCUUCGGACCUUGCGCGAUUGAAUGAGCCGAUGUCGGAUUAGCUAGUUGGCGGGGUAAAGGCCCACCAAGGCGACGCUCCGUAGCUGGUCUGAGAGGAUGUUCAGCCACACUGGAACUGAGACACGGUCCAGACUCCUACGGGAGGCAGCAGUGGGGAAUAUUGGACAAUGGGCGCAAGCCUGAUCCAGCCAUACCGCGUGGGUGAAGAAGGCCUUCGGGUUGUAAAGCCCUUUUGUUGGGAAAGAAAAGCAGCAGGUUAAUACCCCGCUGUUCUGACGGUACCCAAAGAAUAAGCACCGGCUAACUUCGU
This 491-nucleotide ribosomal RNA is filed under the name uncultured bacterium. Its description in RNAcentral is "partial 16S ribosomal RNA". It matches the Rfam family "Bacterial small subunit ribosomal RNA", at positions 29 to 506 of the family's 1533-position model. The record is from RNAcentral.